Molecule: transfer RNA, 72 nt
Filed under: Osphronemus goramy (giant gourami)
Lineage: Eukaryota; Metazoa; Chordata; Actinopteri; Anabantiformes; Osphronemidae
Description: tRNA-Lys
Rfam family: tRNA
About the family: Transfer RNA (tRNA) molecules are approximately 80 nucleotides in length.
Source: RNAcentral
CGCUAAGAAGCUAAAUGGUAAACAGCGUUAGCCUUUUAAGCUAAAGAAUGGUGACUACCAACCACCCUUAGC